Sciurus carolinensis (gray squirrel) is the source of this 103-nucleotide small nuclear RNA. The record is from RefSeq and is a predicted model, not a curated record. Lineage: Eukaryota; Metazoa; Chordata; Mammalia; Rodentia; Sciuridae.
UUGCUUCUGCAGCACAUAUACUAAAAUUGGAAUGACACAGAGAAGAUAAGCAUGUCCCCUGCUCAAGGAUGACACACAAAUUCAUAGGGAGUUUCAUAUUAAA